UCGAGACUGCGUGUCCGAACGCCGCAUACGACCGAUAAACUGGCGAGUGGAUCGGGCCGAGCGCAGCUCUCGGCCCUUCCGCCAAUGAUCAGCCAGCAGCCGCUGCAACCCCAGGGAG
Molecule: non-coding RNA, 118 nt
Organism: Streptomyces auratus AGR0001
Lineage: Bacteria; Bacillati; Actinomycetota; Actinomycetes; Kitasatosporales; Streptomycetaceae
Source: Rfam